AAGAAGAGAAAGAGUAAAACAAGUAAUCCGAUCAUGAGACGUCAACGUGCGAAUAUGUAGAACAUAUCAACAUAUUACAUAUAUGGAUCAUGUCAUCAUCUCUGGCCACGUUGCUUAUAUGGUCCUAACGAAUAUGCUUUAUGGAUCCUUUCUUCCUAAUUACAGUACAUAUACAAAAUUAUAUGACUAAAUAUGAUUUAUAUGUGCUACGUCCUUUAGAUAAGCCGUG
Molecule: long non-coding RNA, 229 nt
Filed under: Capsella rubella
Lineage: Eukaryota; Viridiplantae; Streptophyta; Magnoliopsida; Brassicales; Brassicaceae
Description: long non-coding RNA (CRUB_LNC002795)
Source: RNAcentral